This 928-nucleotide ribosomal RNA is filed under the name Euplotes vannus. RNAcentral's name for it is "SSU rRNA". It matches the Rfam family "Bacterial small subunit ribosomal RNA", at positions 537 to 1470 of the family's 1533-position model. The record is from RNAcentral. Lineage: Eukaryota; Ciliophora; Spirotrichea; Euplotida; Euplotidae.
AGCGUUAUCCGUCGUGAUUGGGUGUAAAUACAGCUAGGCUGCUUAGUAGGUGAUUAUUAAAAAAAACUGCUUUAGGGUUUUUAUAAUAACUAACUAAUGCUUGAAUCGGUUAGACGUCUGUGGAAUCGUAGGGGGAGCGGUAAAAUGCUUAGAUAACUACGGGAUUUCCGAAAUAUGGCAAGGCGGCUUGCGAUAACCGAUUGACGCUGAACUGUUAAAGUAUAAGUCUCGAAGAGGAUUGGAGACCCUCGUAGUUUAUACCCUGAAUAAUGAAUGUCAAUUUUUGAAGUUAGCUAACGCACGAACAUUCUGCCUGAAGAGUAUGGCCGCAAGGGCCAAAUUUAAAGAGAUUGGCGGGAGCUUAGAUAAAUGGUGGAAUAUGUGGUUUAAUUCGAUAAUCCGCGAGAAACCUUACCAGUGUACGACGCCAAACAAAGAAAACUAAAUAUCUAGUUUUAUCGUUGUUUGUUUUCGCCUAGGUACUGCAUGGCUGUCAUCAGUUUGUUAUGUAGGUUUACUUCGAACACAAUCUUUAAUAGUUUUUAGGGCGAUUAUCGGUGCGGUUUGAUACUAGCUACCGCCUAUACUGCCUAUUAAAACUCCUUUAGCCCUUAACGGUUAAAUAGAGAGGGGAAGUCAAGUCAUUAUGGUCUUAAUAUGCUGGGCCACACACGUAUUACAGGGCUAGAAACAAUGAGUACCGCCUUAAGGCGUUUAUUUCUAAAAACUAGCCCGGUUCGGAUUGUUUAUUGAAAUUGAUAAGCAUGAAGCAGGAAUCAUUAGUAAUCGCAAAUAAGAUCGCUGCGAUGAAUCUUUUUACGCUUUGCACACACCGCCCAUCAUAUUCGAAGAGUUGUCUUGGUUUGAAGAUUACCUAAACCUCGGUAUCUGUAGGUUACUGUAGGAUAAACCGUCUAAAAACAAGGUG